This 392-nucleotide ribosomal RNA is filed under the name uncultured Gammaproteobacteria bacterium. RNAcentral's name for it is "bacterial SSU rRNA". It matches the Rfam family "Bacterial small subunit ribosomal RNA", at positions 370 to 779 of the family's 1533-position model. The record is from RNAcentral. Lineage: Bacteria; Pseudomonadati; Pseudomonadota; Gammaproteobacteria.
AAUGGAGGAAACUCUGAUGCAGCGAUGCCGCGUGAGUGAAGAAGGCCCUUGGGUUGUAAAGCUCUUUCGUCGGGGAAGAAAAUGACUGUACCCGAAUAAGAAGGUCCGGCUAACUUCGUGCCAGCAGCCGCGGUAAUACGAAGGGACCUAGCGUAGUUCGGAAUUACUGGGCUUAAAGAGUUCGUAGGUGGUUGAAAAAGUUAGUGGUGAAAUCCCAGAGCUUAACUCUGGAACUGCCAUUAAAACUUUUCAGCUAGAGUAUGAUAGAGGAAAGCAGAAUUUCUAGUGUAGAGGUGAAAUUCGUAGAUAUUAGAAAGAAUACCAAUUGCGAAGGCAGCUUCCUGGAUCAUUACUGACACUGAGGAACGAAAGCAUGGGUAGCGAAGAGGAUU